This 253-nucleotide ribosomal RNA is filed under the name uncultured bacterium. Its description in RNAcentral is "partial 16S ribosomal RNA". It matches the Rfam family "Bacterial small subunit ribosomal RNA", at positions 524 to 776 of the family's 1533-position model. The record is from RNAcentral.
AACGUAGGUUCCGAGCGUUAUCCGGAUUUACUGGGCGUAAAGCGCGUUCAGGCGGUUCGGCAAGUCGGGCAUGAAAUCUCUCGGCUCAACCGGGAGAGGUUGUCCGAUACUGCUGGACUUGAGGGCAGUAGAGGGUGGUGGAAUUCCGGGUGUAGUGGUGAAAUGCGUAGAUAUCGUGAGGAAGACCAGUGGCGAAGGCGGGUCUCUGGACAGUUCCUGACGCUGAGGCGCGAAGGCCAGGGGAGCAAACGGG